GAGAACGUGCAAUGUCUCAGCUCGAGAAAUUAGAAAUCCAUGAUUGUCCAUAUCUGGAUACCCUCUCGGAAGUGAUUGGGUCGUUUCCAUUUAUGAAGGAGAUAAAGAUAGUGACAACCAAAAGCAUUGCAACAAAGAUCAAGAAUUCAGACUUAAUCUCCGAAAUAGGGAUCGUGAAUAUCAAUCCAUGAGAGUUUCAGCAUGAAUUUGCAGUAGAUGGGUCAACUUUGAAGAGCAGCCGACUGUGAUUGAAAACGAAUUAGCCCAUGAGCCUUGUAUGGUUUCGAAGCUAGAUGAGUCUAGUUUCAUAUGCAAUAAACUACAGGUCAUUUGGAGUUUUCUAGAAGGAGUUAUGGCUGUUUUACUUAAAUUGAGUCUCUAAACUUGUUUGAAGAAGGAUUUCUUCUUACUUUUCUCUUAGCCUUUAGGUGGAUUUCUUAAGGUGACGAGUCUCUCUAACCUCCUUGGUGGAUUCCUUAGAGUGAAGAGUUUAUCUUGCAUCGCUUCCUUGUGUUUCACAAUAUCUUCACAAUAUUGAGAUCAACUCUCGCUCGUUUUUAAACUUUUGCUUCUUCUUUAUAUUUUUUUGGUUGUAAUAGAGCAGAGUUGUUUUCAUGAAUCAAAAUUCUUAAACAGCUUGAUGAAUUUCAGCUUAAUGUAUAGACAGUUUGCACCAUAUAUAUGAGAGAAAAUAAACUCGUUAAAUAUGGAGAUUCAUCACAAUUUGUA
Molecule: long non-coding RNA, 729 nt
Organism: Salvia miltiorrhiza (redroot sage)
Lineage: Eukaryota; Viridiplantae; Streptophyta; Magnoliopsida; Lamiales; Lamiaceae
Exons: 2
Source: RefSeq, a predicted model, not a curated record